CCUACGGGUGGCAGCAGUGGGGAAUAUUGCACAAUGGGGGAAACCCUGAUGCAGCGACGCCGCGUGAGUGAUGAAGUAUUUCGGUUUGUAAAGCUCUAUCAGCAGGGAAGAAAAUGACGGUACCUGAUGAAGAAGCCCCGGCUAACUACGUGCCAGCAGCCGCGGUAAUACGUAGGGGGCAAGCGUUCUCCGGAUUUACGGGGUGUAAAGGGGGCGGAGGCGGUUGUGCAAGUCAGAAGUGAAAGCCCAGGGCUCAACCUCGGGACUGCUCUUGAAACUGCGUGGCUAGAGUGCAGGAGAGGCAGGCGGAAUUCCUGGUGUAGCGGUGAAAUGCGUAGAUAUUAGGAGGAACACCAGUGGCGAAGGCGGCUUACUGGACUGUAACUGACGUUGAGGCUCGAAAGCGUGGGGAGCAAACAGGAUUAGAUACCCUUGUAGUC
RNAcentral lists this ribosomal RNA (440 nucleotides) under uncultured bacterium. RNAcentral describes it as "partial 16S ribosomal RNA". It matches the Rfam family "Bacterial small subunit ribosomal RNA", at positions 338 to 795 of the family's 1533-position model. The record is from RNAcentral.